Molecule: transfer RNA, 73 nt
Rfam family: tRNA
About the family: Transfer RNA (tRNA) molecules are approximately 80 nucleotides in length. Their secondary structure includes four short double-helical elements and three loops (D, anti-codon, and T loops). Further hydrogen bonds mediate the characteristic L-shaped molecular structure. tRNAs have two regions of fundamental functional importance: the anti-codon, which is responsible for specific mRNA codon recognition, and the 3' end, to which the tRNAs corresponding amino acid is attached (by aminoacyl-tRNA synthetases). tRNAs cope with the degeneracy of the genetic code in two manners: having more than one tRNA (with a specific anti-codon) for a particular amino acid; and 'wobble' base-pairing, i.e. permitting non-standard base-pairing at the 3rd anti-codon position.
GCUUCUAUAGCUUAAUCUGGUAAAGCAGUAGAGUGAAGUUCUAUCUAUAUAGGUUCAAUUCCUUUUAGGGGCA